GCCGGGGUGGCCGAGCGGUCCAAGGCGGUGGACACCCGAUCCACUACCCCAAAAGGGUGCCCGGGUUCAAAUCCCGGCCCCGGCGCCA
RNAcentral lists this transfer RNA (88 nucleotides) under Thermofilum adornatum 1505. Its description in RNAcentral is "Thermofilum adornatus 1505 tRNA-Gly". It matches the Rfam family "tRNA". From Rfam's summary of the family: Transfer RNA (tRNA) molecules are approximately 80 nucleotides in length. Their secondary structure includes four short double-helical elements and three loops (D, anti-codon, and T loops). Further hydrogen bonds mediate the characteristic L-shaped molecular structure. tRNAs have two regions of fundamental functional importance: the anti-codon, which is responsible for specific mRNA codon recognition, and the 3' end, to which the tRNAs corresponding amino acid is attached (by aminoacyl-tRNA synthetases). tRNAs cope with the degeneracy of the genetic code in two manners: having more than one tRNA (with a specific anti-codon) for a particular amino acid; and 'wobble' base-pairing, i.e. permitting non-standard base-pairing at the 3rd anti-codon position. The record is from RNAcentral. Lineage: Archaea; Thermoproteati; Thermoproteota; Thermoprotei; Thermofilales; Thermofilaceae. RNAcentral also lists the same sequence under 1 other name.